This 409-nucleotide ribosomal RNA is filed under the name uncultured Gammaproteobacteria bacterium. RNAcentral's name for it is "bacterial SSU rRNA". It matches the Rfam family "Bacterial small subunit ribosomal RNA", at positions 370 to 779 of the family's 1533-position model. Lineage: Bacteria; Pseudomonadati; Pseudomonadota; Gammaproteobacteria. The record is from RNAcentral.
AAUGGGCGCAAGCCUGAUCCAGCCAUCCCGCGUGCAGGAUGACUGCCUAUGGGUUGUAAACUGCUUUUGUAUGAGAAGAACCUUGGGAUUUAUCCCGAGUUGACGGUAUCAUAAGAAUAAGCACCGGCUAACUCCGUGCCAGCAGCCGCGGUAAUACGGAGGGUGCAAGCGUUAUCCGGAAUCACUGGGUUUAAAGGGUGCGUAGGCGGCGUAAUAAGUCAGAGGUGAAAGUUUGCAGCUUAACUGUAAAAUUGCCUUUGAUACUGUUAUGCUUGAAUUAGGCUGAGGUCAGCGGAAUGAGUCAUGUAGCGGUGAAAUGCAUAGAUAUGACUUAGAACACCAAUUGCGAGGCAGCUGGCUAGACCUAUAUUGACGCUGAGGCACGGAAGCGUGGGGAGCGAACAGGAUU